Molecule: ribosomal RNA, 454 nt
Filed under: Streptococcus constellatus
Lineage: Bacteria; Bacillati; Bacillota; Bacilli; Lactobacillales; Streptococcaceae
Description: bacterial SSU rRNA
Rfam family: Bacterial small subunit ribosomal RNA
Source: RNAcentral
GACGAACGCUGGCGGCGUGCCUAAUACAUGCAAGUAGAACGCACAGGAUGCACCGUAGUUUACUACACCGUAUUCUGUGAGUUGCGAACGGGUGAGUAACGCGUAGGUAACCUGCCUGGUAGUGGGGGAUAACUAUUGGAAACAAUAGCUAAUACCGCAUAAGAACAUUUACUGCAUGGUAGAUGUUUAAAAGGUGCAAAAGCAUCACUACCAGAUGGACCUGCGUUGUAUUAGCUAGUUGGUGAGGUAACGGCUCACCAAGGCAACGAUACAUAGCCGACCUGAGAGGGUGAUCGGCCACACUGGGACUGAGACACGGCCCAGACUCCUACGGGAGGCAGCAGUAGGGAAUCUUCGGCAAUGGGGGGAACCCUGACCGAGCAACGCCGCGUGAGUGAAGAAGGUUUUCGGAUCGUAAAGCUCUGUUGUUAAGGAAAGAAAUGUGUGUGAGAAG